CGUCUGAAUGUUUUCUCCAUGUGGUCUCACCCGUCACGUUCAGAAAGACGGAUUAUUCUUUGCAAAACUGUGAGCAUUCAUCGUGCGGACGACAGUCUGCAUACCUGUGUUAUCCUUCACUCACUCACUCUGACACCGUAGAGGAAGUCACUGACCUUUUUCUUCUACAGAUGCGAGGUCUGGGACAUUAUGGAUAUUAUGGAACGCACACCUUUACCAUUUGGCCCUGACCACAGUCGCCCCGCCCCCUCCCCCGCGUUAUGUAGGAGGUGAUUGAAGAGUUGUGCAAUCAGGACUCCUGAGGUCCCGGGAGGCUCCGAGGCAGACGCAGAGAGAGGCCGGUCUUGGCAGCGAGGCCGUUUUAAGCUGAUCGGGACGUCACUGUGGUUUCCACACACACAGCGCUCCGCUUCACAGCCCCAGCCGUGGAUCUUCGCCGUCUUGCAGAUAGGAAGCUGCCUGCUGAUUGGCUACUGAGUCUUGGAGCGACAGGAAGUCGUCACAGGAUUGGAGUCGCUGUCCGUCUGGAACUCGUUCCCCAAGUUUUCACCCCGUCUACAUCAUCUGACAAAAAUAACCGCCGCUGCUGCGUUCUGACAGAAAAACGAUGAGUGGAGGGAUUUUUAAAGACACACUCUCGCUGGAUUUGCUCGCUCAGCACCAGGAGGCCAUGAUGAAGAUUUACUACUGAUGCUGCUGAAGGAUAUAUUUAAAGAUGGCCAGCCGACCGUUUGAAGGCCCACUGUAAUUAACCUUUGGAGGAGAAUAACAAACCAGUACACAGGGGCACUGUGACCAGGCUCCGCUGCUUUGAUGUGGUUCCUGUGUUUGCUCGGCUCUGCGCUGAAUUGGAGGUGAACUCUGCUGACAUGUCUGGGGUUGCUGAGGGGCACGUCACGCCCAGGGGGCCUGCGUCCACACACCACCACCACCACCACCAGCAGCAGCAGCAUGGAAAGAUCUGUUAUCAGCCCUCUGAGACGCUGGCUUCAUUUGCUGCCAGGAGUUUGGCCACCAGCCAUCGUCUCAGUAGCACAGAUCAUGCAGUCGUCAGCCUCAGCAUUCAGAUCACAAAAAAACCCACCAAAAACAAUCAGCACUAUCGCUAUCUGCAAUUGUAUUCGGGUGAAUUAACCCGAUUUUUGCGAUCAAAAGAAAUCCAAUCGUUUCUGAAAGUUGAGAAGUUGCGCGUCAAAACCGACGUCUGUCUAUUACGGUAAUUUCCCUCGCGCUGCUGCAGGAAGCCGGCGAAUUA
Long non-coding RNA from Solea senegalensis (Senegalese sole), 1255 nucleotides. RefSeq lists it as uncharacterized. The record is from RefSeq and is a predicted model, not a curated record. The transcript is spliced from 5 exons. NCBI's taxonomy places the organism in Eukaryota, Metazoa, Chordata, Actinopteri, Pleuronectiformes, Soleidae.